This 69-nucleotide transfer RNA is filed under the name Phrynosoma platyrhinos (Desert horned lizard). RNAcentral's name for it is "tRNA-OTHER". It matches the Rfam family "tRNA". From Rfam's summary of the family: Transfer RNA (tRNA) molecules are approximately 80 nucleotides in length. Their secondary structure includes four short double-helical elements and three loops (D, anti-codon, and T loops). Lineage: Eukaryota; Metazoa; Chordata; Lepidosauria; Squamata; Phrynosomatidae. The record is from RNAcentral.
AGCAGGGUAUAGUGGUUUGAGUGCUGGACUAUGACUCUGGAGACCCGGGUUCAAUUCCCGGCUCAGCCA